Molecule: non-coding RNA, 82 nt
Organism: Cantharellus anzutake
Lineage: Eukaryota; Fungi; Basidiomycota; Agaricomycetes; Cantharellales; Hydnaceae
Source: the annotation of a RefSeq genome assembly
GUUUUCGUGGUGUAAUGGUUAUCACAUUCGCUUCACAACCCGUGUGCGCGAAAGGCUCUGAGUUCGAUCCUCAGCGAGAACA